This 253-nucleotide ribosomal RNA is filed under the name uncultured bacterium. RNAcentral describes it as "partial 16S ribosomal RNA". It matches the Rfam family "Bacterial small subunit ribosomal RNA", at positions 524 to 776 of the family's 1533-position model. The record is from RNAcentral.
UACGAAGGGAGCUAGCGUUGUUCGGAAUCACUGGGCGUAAAGCGCACGUAGGCGGAUGUGUCAGUCAGGGGUGAAAUCCCGGAGCUCAACUUCGGAACUGCCUCUGAUACAGCACGUCUUGAGUCCGAGAGAGGUGGGUGGAAUUCCUAGUGUAGGGGUGAAAUUCGUAGAUAUUCGGAAGAACACCAGUGGCGAAGGCGACUUACUGGACGAUUGUUGACGCUGAGGUGCGAAAGCGUGGGGAGCAAACAGG